Equus caballus (horse) is the source of this 1394-nucleotide long non-coding RNA. RefSeq lists it as uncharacterized. NCBI's taxonomy places the organism in Eukaryota, Metazoa, Chordata, Mammalia, Perissodactyla, Equidae. The record is from RefSeq and is a predicted model, not a curated record.
GUGUUGGCAGAUUUGGUUUCUCCUGGGGCCUCUCUCUUUGGCUUGCAGAUGGCCACCCUCUUGCUGCCCCUUCACAUGGUUGUCCCUGUGCACACACUCCGAGUGCCUCCCCCUCUUCUUAGAAGGACAGCAAUCCUAUAGGAUUAAGGCCUCACCCUACAGGCCUCUUUUUAACUCAGUCACCUCUUCAGAGACCACAUCUCCAAAUACAGUUACGUUCUGGAGAUCUAGGGGUUGGGACUUCAACAUAAAAAUUUGGGGGGAGACACACUUCAUCUCAUAACACUCCAGAAUCCAGGAAUCUGACAGCUUGCCCUCUCACAUCCCUGUCCUCACUGACCACCUCCAGAUAAGCUUAUCCUCCUAGGAUCAGGCUUAGAAUCCCGUAACUUCUUUCUGAUCCCAGGGCCCAUGGUGUCUCUGAAGCUAUUGCGUAGUUACUCCAGCUUACUUUUCUACUGCUGCCAAAGUAACUAGGGGCCAGGAAGAGAGUUCUAUGUAGAAUUCUGAGUGACUUGCUCAUUCUAUUUGAUUAUCUGUGUGUGUGUAUGUGCACUCUUCUUGAUUUGAAAACAAACCUCCAGUCCUCUGUUUGAAUUUAAGCAGCAAUAAACCAAUGACAAUAAUUCCACUCACAUUUGUCUAGAACUCUCCAUUAAGAGGAGGACUGUGGAAGAAAGUCCAACAAAAGGGACUGAAAAGGGACAAUCAGACUGAAGGUGGAAACCAGAAGUGCUGCCAGGCAAGAAGAGAGGUAUUUUACUCUCCUCUGCACUAAAGGAUAUCCUUGUAGAAAUUAAUCACGUCCAAGCUGCUCCAGCUGCAACAGGACCACAGCCACUUCUGUCCACUUCUCCUGUAUAGGGUACUCAUCAAGAGGAAUAAGAUCAUAUGCAUAGAAACACUCUUCAGAAGAGGAGAACGUGUGCAUACCUUAUAUCACAAAUAGUGAGAAUUGGAUUAAAAAAUUCUGCCAAGAAACCUUUGUCAAAGGCCAGGAAAGUAUAAUUCCUCUGUAAUGAUACCAGUCCUUUGUACUACCAAGGCUUUGGAAAUAUGAAGAUGUUUCUAAGCAACAGGAGGAAAGAAAGUACGACUGACUAUUACCAAGGAGUUUCAAUCCUUGACACAAUCAUCUAUGGCAAGGAGAAAGGAUGAGUGGAACAAGGAGAACUCUGUGAGUGGGGAACCUUCCACAGUAGGUGACUAUUGCAUCUACCAUUGUUCACUGCUCUAAGAGUGAUGGAAGAGACAUCUAAGAUGUACUGGAAUAUGAUGAACUAGGUCAGCCAAAUAUAGUUGUCUUGAUGACAGUGCUUUUGAAAAAUAGAAACAAAGCAAGUUUCUCUGCUGUAGACUAUAUCAUAGAAUGCAAUAAAGAGAUGAGUGCUCCU